Molecule: ribosomal RNA, 308 nt
Filed under: Euplotes focardii
Lineage: Eukaryota; Ciliophora; Spirotrichea; Euplotida; Euplotidae
Description: partial Eukaryotic small subunit ribosomal RNA
Rfam family: Eukaryotic small subunit ribosomal RNA
Source: RNAcentral
UUGAUUCUGCCAGUAGUCAUACGCUCGUCUCAAAGAUUAAGCCAUGCAUGUCUAAGUAUAAAUCUUUUACUUUGAAACUGCGAACGGCUCAUUAUAUCAGUUAUAAUUUAUUUGAUAGUCCCUUACUACUUGGAUAACCGUAGUAAUUCUAGAGCUAAUACAUGCAUCAAUACCCAACCGUUCGCGGACGGGUAGUAUUUAUUAGAUAGAAACCAACCCUCUUCGGAGGCGUCCAGGUGAUUCAUGAUAACUCUGCGAAUCGCAUGGCCUUGUGCCGGCGAUGAAUCAUUCAAAUUUCUGCCCUAUCA